AGUAUCUGCUGAGUCUGCGGGUGUCUGCAAGGCCCCAAGUGUCAUCUGCGGCUUAGGGUUUCAUGGAUUAGAUUUUAAACGGUGUCUGGCCCAGUUGACAUCAGCCUCCUCGCACGCUCAGGCUCCAAAGAAUCGCGGGCUUGGGAGCUCCCUCUCCAAGCAGCUGCAGCUGCCCCAAAGCACCCCCUCGCUAGCAGAGUGGGAGUCCUCUCCCACCUCUGGAGAAAGGUUCCCCGAGGCUUCCGGGAGCGACUCGGAUGGAUGCGUUCCAGCCUCUGGCGUGAGCGUCAUGUGAUGACCACACUCGGUCGUUCAGGGCGCGAGUGGGGGCGGCGGCCAGUCUGGGAAGGCCCUUCCCGCGCGGCCGACAGCCAGGGCGAGAGCGGAGGCCGCGCACAGCCAUUUAAAACUGCAUGAAUUAUAAACAAGCCGCCUUGGCCUUCGCCAUAAAUUCUGCUCUUUUUGAGCCUGCAAUUAGUGUUAGGAAGCACCGGAGUCUAAACACAACCAAACACCCUCUGAAGGGCCCAAGUGCCCGAGGUUGCAAAGCUUUAUUUAUUUCUCAUUGCCACCCCCUCCGCGGCCCGAGGUUUGCGACCACAGUCUCCUCCUCCCCCGUCACCGCCGGCGGUACGCAGCCGGCUGGGUUCCCGCUCCGCGAGGGAAGGUCACAAUAGCUGCUCUAUCGGCGGAGGCGCCCGCCUCCCCCCUCUCGGGUCUCGGGAAGGCAGAGAAAGGACGGUGGGGGAGGGGAGCUCGGGCCGGCAAUGGCGCCCCAGGCCCAGGCAGCUCCUUCUCCCGCGGAGGACCUGCAGCGGGAAGAGGCACGUCUGCAGCGGAAGGACACCGCCACUCCAGACCGAGGCUUCUUCCCGGGAGCGGCGCGCGGGCUCCGUGGGGAGCUCACCACGGUCUCGAGGAGGCUGCUCGCUGGCCCCUAGCCGCCGCGCGCUGCUGGAUCGAGGGCGCCCGCAGCAGCGGACCUUCCGGGAGCAGCGGCGCCAUUGUGAGCGCGGCUUCCCACGGGCCCCGCGGCCGGGAAGCCGCACAAAGGCGGCAAGGCGUCCGACACCCGCAGGCUUUCAAAUAAGAGGGAGAGAAUACAGAGCAAGUGCUUGCCCCUUGGUGCAACCUCAAGCCUAGUCCCUAUCAGAGACACAUCAGCCAAAUUGGUUUCCCAGGCCCCAGAGGCUGCUAACCUUGCUGAAAAGCAUUUUUUAAAUUUGUAUCUGUAAGGAGUAUUUUAAACAUGGUAAUUAACCAUACUAGUUACUCAUCCCUCUCCCUCCCCCAUUCUGUACCAGCCAACUGACCCUUGAGUGAAGUGGUCUUCUCAGCCAGCAGGCUUGAGCACCUAGGCUCCCCAUCUGUUGAGGUUUUUCAUUAAGGAGGGUGAAGAGGAUGUGUGUGUGGGUGUAUGUUUGAAUAACAAAGGAGAAACCCAACAUUCUAAAAAAGUGUUUCUCUACUUGACCUGGGGGAGCCAGAAGCCUGUUUACACUAUGGAUAUUCAAGGACAACCCAGGCCUGUUUUGACUUUAUCCUGAGGAUUAGUUGAAAUUGUCUCCUGAAGUCAAGAAUGGGUUAAUCCCAGUUACAGAAUCCAGGAAGGUCCUCUUCAUCUGGCAACUCUUGGCAUUACUCUGGUCCUUCUUUCAGAAACU
This is a long non-coding RNA of Bos taurus (domestic cattle), 1664 nucleotides long. Lineage: Eukaryota; Metazoa; Chordata; Mammalia; Artiodactyla; Bovidae. The record is from Ensembl.